This 461-nucleotide ribosomal RNA is filed under the name uncultured bacterium. Its description in RNAcentral is "bacterial SSU rRNA". It matches the Rfam family "Bacterial small subunit ribosomal RNA", at positions 48 to 512 of the family's 1533-position model. The record is from RNAcentral.
AUAACACAUGCAAGUCGAGGCAGGUGGCGGAUUGAUAGCGCCUACCGGCAGACGAGUGAGUAAGACGUAAGCAACGUGCCCUCGAAUGCCGGACAACCAACCGAAAGGUUGGCUAAUACGCCGUACAGCCAAAGAGAAGGCAUCUUAUGGUGGUGAUAGGCCCGCAAGGGUCAAUCGAGGAGGGGCUUCCGGCCCAUCAGAUAGUUGGCGGGAUAACAGCCCACCAAGGCUAUGACGGGUACCCGGCAUGAAAGGGCGAACGGGCACGAAGGCACUGACACACGGGCCUUACUCCUACGGGAGGCAGCAGUGGGGAAUUUUGGACAAUGGGGGCAACCCUGAUCCAGCAACUCUGCGUGAGGGAUGAAGUUCUUCGGAAUGUAAACCUCUUUUGUCGGGGACGAACGCCCGCAAGGGUUGACGGUACCCGGCGAAUAAGCCACGGCCAACUAUGUGCCAGC